CCUGGAGGCCUGGCAGUUGUGCCCAUCAGGGCCAACUGCAGAAAGAAGAGGGGGCGGCCUGGCUCCCCGCGGCUUCCUCUCCUUGCUCCCAACCUCGUCCCCGCUGAGCUCCCGAGUGCACAAUGGUCUCAGGAAAUUGAAUCGUGGGCAGCAUCUCAGCUUUGUAGCAGAGACCUCUGACGUGCCCUGUCCCUGGAGAAAGGUGAAGCUAUCACACUGUUGGUGACUGGGCCACAUGGCUGGCCACUUUCUGAUCCUGGUACCCACUGCUCUUGCCCCAGGGCUUCUGCACUGCUGUGCUCACUCAGGAAGUGCCAAGCCCUGUGUCCCAACUGCUGCCACCCAGCCCCCCACUGGCCUGCCUCGGCUCAGAGUGCAGCUCGCUCGGCAGGAACAGCUGUGGCAAAGCCUGCUUCCCCACGUCGGAAGCCUCGGUGGGUCUUCAGCAAACAAACACAAAGCAGAACCCAGGGAAGGUGUAAAAUAAAUAAACGAAACAAGCCGUGCAUUCUCUUUCAGCGGUGCAGCUGCUCCCAAAGAUAAACAGCAAGUGACUGUCACCGAACACCAAUACCGAGAAAUGAA
Molecule: long non-coding RNA, 585 nt
Organism: Nannospalax galili (Upper Galilee mountains blind mole rat)
Lineage: Eukaryota; Metazoa; Chordata; Mammalia; Rodentia; Spalacidae
Exons: 3
Source: RefSeq, a predicted model, not a curated record